This 253-nucleotide ribosomal RNA is filed under the name uncultured bacterium. Its description in RNAcentral is "partial 16S ribosomal RNA". It matches the Rfam family "Bacterial small subunit ribosomal RNA", at positions 524 to 776 of the family's 1533-position model. The record is from RNAcentral.
UACGUAGGGUGCAAGCGUUGUUCGGAAUUACUGGGCGUAAAGGGCGCGUAGGCGGGCCCGUAUGUCGAUUGUGAAAGCCCUGGGCUUAACCUGGGAAUUGCAGUCGAAACUGCGGGUCUUGAGUGCCUAAGAGGAUGGCGGAAUUCCCGGUGUAGAAGUGAAAUUCGUAGAUAUCGGGAAGAACACCUGAGGCGAAGGCGGCUGUCUGGUGGUGCACUGACGCUGAGGCGCGAAAGCGUGGGGAGCGAACAGG